GUCCUGUUUGACCAACCUGAUCUCCUUCUAUGAUCCAGUGACCCGUCUGGUGGAUGAGGGAAAGGCUGUUGAUGUGGUCUACCUAGACUUCAGCAAAGCCUUUGACACUGUCUCCCACAGUAUUCUCCUCCAGAAGCUGGCAGAUCGUGGCUUGGACAGACACAUUCUUGGCUGGAUGAUCAUUCAUGUGAGAGCCAUUCAAUGUUGCAUUUUUGAAGGAUUUGGAAAAUAUGGAUGGGAUGUGGAUGAGAUGAUACAUCUGGGAGCAGAGGCGAGCCAGAAGAUCAAAAAGG
Gallus gallus (chicken) is the source of this 293-nucleotide long non-coding RNA. The record is from Ensembl. Lineage: Eukaryota; Metazoa; Chordata; Aves; Galliformes; Phasianidae.